UUCUUUCAAGGUGGACAAUGAAGGAGAUGUCGGAGUUAUGGGUCUGCAGAUUUGCUAAUCUUUCAUUGUAACUGUAGAUAUUUGCUUAACUUUUCUGUUAUCUUUCACAUAAUGUGUGAAUUUUCAAUCUCAACUUGGCUGAGGAUUCUUGCUGCCAUUGAAUGAAGGAGGAGGCUUCCCCAUCGAUUAAUAACCUAGUGUUUUACGUGGAUCCAAAUUAAAUGUAGAUCAUUUGUGGGAGUUCAGGACUUGUUCAAGUGGUCCAUUCCACUGUGGGAAUCAAUUUGGUCAUCAAGAUGGCGACUGUGAUUAAUACACACCAGAGCUAUCUUCGCAUUCCCCGAGUCUCUGUUCAUCCUGCAGAUGAUGAGGUGGAACAGAUGGAGAAUGGACAAAGCAGGACCCAGACCCUUGUUGAUGACAGGGAGAUGUCCAACAUUAACAACAGCAACAACAAUGAUGAAGAGAAAGAAACAAAGAAGGAAUCCAAAAAGAGCAAAAAAGAGAAAAAGGGGUAAGGAGAAAAGACUUA
Molecule: non-coding RNA, 532 nt
Organism: Chiloscyllium plagiosum (whitespotted bambooshark)
Lineage: Eukaryota; Metazoa; Chordata; Chondrichthyes; Orectolobiformes; Hemiscylliidae
Source: RefSeq, a predicted model, not a curated record